This 460-nucleotide ribosomal RNA is filed under the name uncultured bacterium. RNAcentral's name for it is "partial 16S ribosomal RNA". It matches the Rfam family "Bacterial small subunit ribosomal RNA", at positions 338 to 795 of the family's 1533-position model. The record is from RNAcentral.
CCUACGGGAGGCAGCAGUGAGGAAUAUUGGUCAAUGGACGCAAGUCUGAACCAGCCAUGCCGCGUGCAGGAAGACGGCUCUAUGAGUUGUAAACUGCUUUUGUACGAGGGUAAAUCCCGAUACGUGUAUCGGGUUGAAAGUAUCGUACGAAUAAGGAUCGGCUAACUCCGUGCCAGCAGCCGCGGUAAUACGGAGGAUUCAAGCGUUAUCCGGAUUUAUUGGGUGUAAAGGGUGCGUAGGCGGUGCGAUAAGUUAGAGGUGAAAUCCCGAGGCUCAACUUCGGCAUUGCCUCUGAUACUGUUGGGAUAGAGAGUAGUUGCGGUAGGCGGAAUGUAUGGUGUAGCGGUGAAAUGCUUAGAGAUCAUACAGAACACCGAUUGCGAAGGCAGCUUACCAAGCUACGUCUGACGUUGAGGCACGAAAGCGUGGGGAGCAAACAGGAUUAGAUACCCUGGUAGUC